CAGUUAUUGAUAUUGUUGAUAUUCUCAAAGAAAAAGAGGAAAAUAAUUUGGACGAAGAGCUGUACAUGCCAAUCCAACUCCUUAGUGGAAGCAAUGAGAAUGAAUUUGUAUCUAUGCAUGAGAGCAUCAUCAAAAAACUACAGUCAAAAUAUGGAGCUCCUGAAUCUWCUAUGAAUAUCUAUGUAUCUAUGAGGAUGUUACAUGGAGAACUGGAGAAG
Long non-coding RNA from Actinia tenebrosa (Australian red waratah sea anemone), 218 nucleotides. The record is from RefSeq and is a predicted model, not a curated record. Lineage: Eukaryota; Metazoa; Cnidaria; Anthozoa; Actiniaria; Actiniidae.